GAUGAACGCUGGCGGCGUGCCUAAUACAUGCAAGUCGAGCGAACAGACGAGGAGCUUGCUCCUCUGACGUUAGCGGCGGACGGGUGAGUAACACGUGGAUAACCUACCUAUAAGACUGGGAUAACUUCGGGAAACCGGAGCUAAUACCGGAUAAUAUAUUGAACCGCAUGGUUCAAUAGUGAAAGACGGUUUUGCUGUCACUUAUAGAUGGAUCCCCGCCGCAUUAGCUAGUUGGUAAGGUAACGGCUUACCAAGGCAACGAUGCGUAGCCGACCUGAGAGGGUGAUCGGCCACACGGGAACUGAGACACGGUCCAGACUCCUACGGGAGGCAGCAGUAGGGAAUAUUCCGCAAUGGGCGAAAGCCUGACGGAGCAACGCCGCGUGAGUGAUGAAGGUCUUCGGAUCGUAAAACUCUGUUAUUAGGGAAGAACAAAUGUGUAAGUAACUAUACACGUCUUGACGGUACCUAAUCAGAAAGCCACGGCUAACUACGUG
RNAcentral lists this ribosomal RNA (497 nucleotides) under uncultured bacterium. RNAcentral describes it as "partial 16S ribosomal RNA". It matches the Rfam family "Bacterial small subunit ribosomal RNA", at positions 28 to 507 of the family's 1533-position model. The record is from RNAcentral.